Mirounga angustirostris (Northern elephant seal) is the source of this 2872-nucleotide long non-coding RNA. RefSeq lists it as uncharacterized. The record is from RefSeq and is a predicted model, not a curated record. Lineage: Eukaryota; Metazoa; Chordata; Mammalia; Carnivora; Phocidae. The transcript is spliced from 3 exons.
CCCGGCCCCGCCCCCUAAAGGCCUCCGCCCCUCCCCUGGGAGGGGCACCGCCCAUUGGGCGGAGACUCGACCGCCCAGGGCGAGUGCGCCUGCGCAGACAUCUGGCGUAGUCUCUGGCGGGCGAGGAAGGGGCAGGUCCGUUUUAUGCGGCUCGGCUUUGGGGAGGCUGUUGAAAGCGACCCGAAAGGGGCCCGAGAAGAAUCGAAUGGAAUCCCAGCACGUGGGGAACGCCCUAGGUGGUCCGAGCUCAGGCUGAGGACCACACGCCCGCGGCCGUGACACCGUUUGGCCCCAGGACGGGAGUCACCACGGACCUGUCUUGUGUCCUUGCUUGGCAGAUAAGUGCCUGUCAGUUUGGAACUGGCUGGCGGGUUCCUCAAAACAACUCUGCGUAGUUUCCCGAGGCCCUAGACUGCACUUUUAGUCCAUUCUGUGUGGGUAGUGCUUGACGGAUGUCCUCAUACAUCCUCCCUUGCCCCGAAUCACGAGACUGAUGACCUGGGAGGAAGGGCCUGAUGCCAGCCAGCGCUCUCUUCCCUGGGCAGCCCAGUCCCUGUUUUGCCUCUCAGCAGGGUCCAUGAUAGCUUUGUAAAAGUGGGGCCCCAGGAGGAGAGCUUCUUAGACCAAGGAAACCGUACCGCCCAGAACUCGCAAUCUUAUUAGGUGUUGAAUUAAGACCAUCAUUGCUAGUGACAGAAACCCAACUCAAACCAGCUUCGGGAGAUUGGGAAUUAUUGGGUCACAUAACCAUAAAGUCCAAGGCGGAUGGUAGCACCAGGCACAGCAGUAUUCAAGGCCUCAUCCUCCUUACUUGACUCUGCUCUUUCCUUUGUGACAUCAAAAUUCCUUUCAGAAGAUAGUCUCAAAAUUUCUAUUUCAAAUUCUAGAGAGAAUGGAUCUGAUUGGCUGUGGUGAUCACCACCGCCCCUGUUGGGCAGAGCUUCCUCUUUCUUGCCCUCUCCCGGCUGCCAGGUGGCUUAUGGAUCAAUCACCCUUGGGCCAGAUGAUCACACUUCACUCAGUGAGCACCCCUAGAGCGCAGAAGGGAUCAUGAGGAAGGCAGUCUCAGCUACUGACUUAUUUGAGGGAUAUCAUGGCUGGUUUUUGCAAACAUCUCACUUUGAACAUAACAUCAGAGUGGCUCCUGUUGACAGCAGCUGUCCGAAACUGGGGUGAAACUGUUUCUGAGGGGUUGGGCGGACCAGGGCAGAUGACCUUCACUUUGUGUCAUAAACCUUUUGUGCUAUAUAAUUUUUAAUCUUGUGCAUAUGUUACUUUGGUGGUUAAAAAAAAUUAGAAAACACAGGGCGCCUGGGGGGCUCAGACAACUGAAGAUCCGACUCUUGAUUUUGGCUCAGGUUAUGAGAUCGGGCCCUGCAUCCCGCUCGGUGCUGAGCUUGGGAUUCUCUCCCCUCUCCCUCUGCCCCUUCCCCCUUCGCUCGCGCACGCAUGCAUGUACUCUCUCUAAAAAAAAAAAAAAAUUAGAAAAUACUACUGAUGGAUUAACUUGAGUUUAUAUUCAGCAAUCCUUUCAUUCACUGCUACUGUGUUGGCAGGUGAAAUGGGCAUGUGAUGCUUGGAGGGAAAGUAGUCAUCUUGAACUGUGACUUGACCGUGGAAUGGAGGCCGUACCUGGAGGCACAACAAAACAGAAGGAGCCUGAGCCCUGGCGCCAUGGAGCAUCGUGACACUGCUGGAUGCUUGCCUCUGGACUUCCACGGGAGAGGGAAAUAAACCACCUUGUCUCCUCAGCACUGGAUCUUGUUAUGUCCAUUUAUUGGAUGGGGAAGUGAUGUCAACGGAAGUGAGGAGAGCUAGACAGAUGUGAUGGCUGGAACUUCUGCAGCUGUAUUGGACCAUGAGGUGACCUAGAAAGUGGAAACCAUUCAAGCUCUGGAUGGCCUACCCCCAGACUGGUUUAAGUGGGAGCGGGAAAAAAAUUAAGUUUUAUCUUGUUACAAUUACUUUAGGUUUUUUGUAAUGUGUAUCCAAACUUAAACCUGAUAUGGUUAUGGUUAAUAUGGUACUGCUUUAUUAUUAUCUGGUUGGGUUUGGUAAAUGAGUUUAUGUUUUACAAAUUUCUUUCCUUUAUUAUUUUAUUAAAUUUAUACAGAAACCACACACACACACACACACACACAGUCUUCUGUCAAUGCAACAUUGUUAUUAUAAACAUAUAUGCUCUCUUAAAGUAUAGCUUUUGAAUUUUUUUUCUUUUCAUUUUUUGCCCAGGGUUUCCCUACUUAUUAACAGCCUAGUGUAUAUCCUCUCAUAUAAUCUCAUCCAAAUCUGAAUCUACUGACUGAAAGAGGCUGAGGGGCAGGGUGGGGAGAAGCAAAGGAAAGUAAAGUACAGGCACGUGAAUGAAGGUGGAGACCAUUAUUGCUUGUCAUAAAUAUUCUAGCUGGAUCACAUUUUCCUACCCCCCCUCCAGCCACCCCCCCCUCCCCGAUUUGCCACGACUGUGGAAUUUACUUUGGCCACUGCAACGUGCGCAGAGGUUACUAUAUGUCACUUCCAGGUAGAAGCCUUCACAAACCAGAGUCCAAUUUGCCACCCAUCCCCUUCCCUUGCAUCAAGAGGGCACAUCCAUCAGCUUUUCUCCCUGCGUGACUGUGAUGAGUAGGGCACCCUGUUAAGCCAUGUCAGAUGUGAGUAAGCAAUAAGUCUUAUUAGAGUGACAAUUAGAGUGUGGAGAAUAAAAACCAUAUCUCCUGGGCCGCCUGGGUGGCUCAGUUGGUUAAGCUUCUGACUCUUGGUUUCAGCUCAGGUCAUGAUCUCUCGGACAUGAGAUCAAGCCCUGCAUCAGGCUCCACGCUGAACAUGGAGUCUGCUUCAGAUUCUCUCUUCCUCUCCCUCCCCCUCAGUUCCU